RNAcentral lists this ribosomal RNA (467 nucleotides) under uncultured bacterium. RNAcentral's name for it is "partial 16S ribosomal RNA". It matches the Rfam family "Bacterial small subunit ribosomal RNA", at positions 28 to 507 of the family's 1533-position model. The record is from RNAcentral.
GAUGAACGCUGGCGGCGCGCCUAACACAUGCAAGUCGAACGAUUAAAGCACCUUCGGGUGUGUAUAAAGUGGCGAACGGCUGAGUAACACGUGGGCAACCUGCCCCUUUCAUUGGGAUAGCCACGGGAAACCGUGGAUAAUACCGAAUACUUCGAGACUUCCGCAUGGAAGACUCGAGAAAGCUCCGGCGGAGAGGGAUGGGCCCGCGGCCUGUUAGCUUGUUGGUGGGGUAACGGCCUACCAAGGCAAUGAUGGGUAGCUGGGUUGCGAGACCGACCAGCCAGAUUGGGCCUGCGACACGGCCCAGACUCCUACGGGAGGCAGCAGUGGGGAAUCUUGCACAAUGGGCGAAAGCCUGAUGCAGCGACGCCGCGUGCGGGAUGAAGGCCUUCGGGUUGUAAACCGCUUUCAGCAGGGACGAGGCGAAAGUGACGGUACCUGCAGAAGAAGCCCCGGCUAACUACGUG